CAGAGUUUAGCACAGUAGCCCUUUUUCGAAGGUCCCUCAUUCCCAUUCUCACUUUAGCUUCUGAACUCUUGAGAGAGAGAGAGAGAGAGAGAGAGAGAGAGACUUCGUCGGUUGGAUCUCAAUCUCAAUCACUCAGUGACAGCAGUUUCUCCCUCUCUCUCUCUCUCUCUCUCUCUCUCACACACACACAAACCCAAGAAUGAAGAUGAUGCAAAUUGGCUUUCUUUUUUGUUGCGUCAGCUACACAAUUCUUGUCAACGGGAAUUCCAUUUAUAUUAAAUGCGUGGAUCGUCAGGCACCUUUCAGUUUAGGACUUUACGCUCUAUGGAGUACAAUUUCUUCUUUUUGUCACCUGUGUACUGUUUCUCAGUCGUGAGGGAGUUCGGUGAGCAAUCCUGCGGGCAGACAUGAAAAGGCUCUGCAUGCAUUUUUUGAACUACUGGCAGAGCCCUUGUAUAUACUUUCUCAGAACUUGCUUCUGCUUAAACUAAGGCUAGUAGUUGAGACAGUUGCUACUCUUUCCCACUGCAUAACAAUGUUCAUUCUCAUUGUCAAGCAAACUGGCAUGAGUAAAGAAUAAGAAGCAUUAUGACGGGGAGCUGUCUGACAUGUGUAAGUUGUUUACACUUCGAUCCUUCAUGAAGUUGAUCCUUCAAGAAGGACAAAGUCUUGUCCUUUUAUGGUGGGGGACAUAUUAUAACCAAGCUGUAUGUGGACUUGUGGACAAAUUAGGGAGCCUAGUGGUGAGGCUGGUGUUUCUUCCUUUUGAAGAAAGUUCCUAUGCUACAUUUGCCAGGUCUGCAUCGGGUUUGCUUUCCUCCUUUGUUUACUUGAUGGUUCUUUUGAUGUUAUGUUGAGUUUGGGUUAAUUUCUUCCUGCUUUUGUUUCUUGCCAUGUGAGUUACAAAUGAUUCUUUACAUAAGCUAUAUGCACACUUCAAAUUUGGUUUGUAUCCAUGGAGGAAUUUCCAUGGUUCCAUUAAUAUUGCAUCAUGCAGUGCUAAAUCUAACAAACUUUAAUUUUCCAAUAAUACCUUUCGUUGACAGGAAAGGACCCAAAUAAAGACAGGAGGAUAGGAAGCAGCCUUACAGAGGCCCUUAAACUGGUUUUGUUUGUAGGUGCAUGCGUGUGUGCAUUUCAAUUUCCUUUUCUCCUUUGUUUAUAAAGAUCAAAAUUAUAGACAUAUAUUUUGAUAUAUGUGCAUAGUCUUGAUCUAAUAAGUAGCCAAGUUGAUUAUUGUAAUAGCAUCUCAGUCGUUUAGACCACAUAUGAAUCUAUGAUGAACAGAAUCCAAGGGACACAAACAACCUAGAAAAUAUCUUUUAGAAAAGAAAAUUUUACCAAGUUAAUCGUAGCAUGCAGAUAUGCAGACACUGCAUGUUAUGUUGUAACAGAGAGAUCAGGUAGUGAAAAUACUUGUAUUAGCCUUUGAUUCAUUGUAUAAUGAGUAGAUUAAAAGAUCUGAUUUUGAUACAUUAUGAAAUAGGACAAGUGAUGAUCACAAAAGGAGCAAGAUAAUUAUCUAUAGUAGGAAUUGAUAUUUGUUCUUUUCUUGAAGUCAUCUUCUUUAUUUGUUUCCUUGGUCUCAAGAUGCCCAGAUAUCCUGUUGGUAUUGUAUUUAUGGUGUUUGGUCCAAGUUAUGCUUAUUCUCUCAUCAGAUUGUUGUACGGACAGAAAUGGAGUGAUGUGGAAGCAUCAACAGCCCUUCGAUAUUAUUGCAUUCAUAUAAUUGUUUUGGCUAUGAAUGGUGUGUAAUGCGCUGAUUCUUCUUGUCAAUAUUCGCAGGCAUAUGAGCCAUAGAGGAAUAUCAAGCAACAUGUACUUGAGUUAAUGAUUUUUCUAUUUUAUGGGUCUUUAUGAUUUCUUUAUUCUAUUACUAAUUAAGGCAUAAUAUUAAUGAUAUAUGAAAUUUUAUAUGGCUACUUCCCUUCGAAUGAUGAAUUCCCUUAUUUUUAAAGUAAAGGAAUUCGUAUUAAGAUGUAGUAAGACGCCAAGGACUAGGAUACUAAAGCGGUGGUGAUUGUUUGAAAAAAUAAAUCGUACGCGUGUCCAAAUCCAUUGACAAUCUGCUAAAGUCUUUCAUUUGGAACUGGUACCCCUUUUCUAUCAUCAAUUUUUGGUUGUAUCUGGUGUUAACUUAAAGAUCUUACUGCUGUUCCUUAAAGGUAUCAAGCUAGAACUGAGAUUGUGCUUUGGUUUUACAUCAGGAACAUUCUGAAUCUUUUCUACAUGCCGUUGCAAAAGAGAAGCAACUAGUAAGGUCAAACCUUUCAUCGUUUCUGUUCGCAAUAAGACAUGUAGUACUGAAUAUCCUGCUGAUCAACUCAGCUGGUGCAGUUGGCUUAAUUUUGGCAAACUCAGUAAGUAUUCUUUUCUUAGUUUAGGCAGUUUUCUUAAGGUUCGUUUGGUAAAGCUUUUGCCUUAUAUUUUCUGUUACUUUUAAAAAUUAAAGUCACUAGUUAUUUUUCAUUUUUUUCAAAGAAAGCAGCUGCUACAUUUUGCAGAUGCUUUUGUCAGAAGAGUAAGAACAUAAGGUUGCUGCUUUUCCCAUGUAUAAAGCUCACAGUAUAGAAAUGUCUUUAUUCAACUGUUGGUGCAUUUGACCUGAAAUUUUUUGAGGCAUAGAAAUGUCUUUAUUCAAUUUUUAUUUUCUCUUUUUGUUUCACAAAAAAUUACAGGACACGGCAAUAUAGAUGACAUCAUCAGUCUGGAAAGGUAUUGAUGGGUAAGUAAUGUGCAUUGUGAGCAAGUGCAAUUCAAUUUAUUGGUUCCAGUCUUUGGUUUCUUGACAUGGUAAAGAUAUGUUCCUUAGAAUAGCGUACUCUGGGGUAUUCAUCAAGUAAUAUUUCCAGGUAUGAUGCUAAUUAUUUAUCUCGCAUGUUUCAUCAAUGAUUUUAACCUCAUAGGCUUGUAUGUGCAAAAUUUUCACUCCUCAUUUUCUUUUUACAGAUGCUUGCCUUCUGGAUGGAAGUUCCUGCUGUUUUCAGGAAUAACAACUGUUAUUUCUGAGAGGAUAUUUCUGGCCGACUUUCUUUGUUCAUUUCUCCAUUUUGGUCGCUUGCUUCUGCAUGUCGUCGUUUGUCAUCAGAUAUCGGCGCGAGAGAUCCUUCAUCAACAGAAUUAUCCGCUUCCGCAAUCCCUCGGACUAAGAAAACAGACUUUUCGCAAUCCAUCUAUGCGUGUAGAGAAUAUUUCUUUGUGGACUAAUCUGAUUGACAAAUUCUUACAGCAGUUUCUCUCUCUCUCUCUCUCUCUCUCUCUCUCUCUCUCACGCACGCACACACACACACACACACAAACCCAAGAAUGAAGAUGAUGCAAAGUGGCUUUCUUUUUUGUUCCGUCAGCUACACAAUUCUUGUCAACGGGAAUUCCAUUUAUAUUAAAUGUGUGGAUCGUCUGGCACCUUUCAGUUUAGGACUUUGCGGUAACAAUAUAUCCUACUUUCUCCAUCGUUUACUGCAUUUUCGAAGUUCCUGCUUGAUUUUCUCUUAAAUCUUUGUCUAUUUUACAUGUUUCCAUAUAUUUUCUUUUUUCUGCUUUGGAUUCAACUACAACCCACAUGAUAAAAUUUUAAAAUUUAGCUUGUUAGUUGUUCUACCAUUAAAUUGGGCAAUUGUCCUUUUAUAUACUUUCUCAGAACUUGCUUCUGCUUAAACUAAGGCUAGUAGUUGAUACAGUUGCUACUCUUUCCCACUGCAUAACAAUGUUCAUUCUCAUCGUCAAGCAAACUGACAUGGUAAUAAGAGCUUUUAUCAAAUUAUCCUGGCAAUCCUGAUUUAUUGUUCUCUAUAUUCAAAAUGAAACCUGCGAGGAAAUGUGUAAUGAUCUGUUUGAUUCCCUUUUGUCAUAUGAACAUCAUAUGGGUAGUGUCCACUGGUUGGGUUCUUUAACCAGUAAUUUUAUGCUUUAAUGGAACCAUUUUAUUGGUUACUGGACAACGGAACAAAUCUCGUAAAAUAUACUUUUUAACCUAUUAUCCAUCUGAGAGGACCGUGAAGAAAUAAAUUUGUACUCUCAACUCUGCCAUUGUAGAAGAUUCACAUGCUGAGUUUAAGCACUUCUCCAUACCCUGAUAUAUGAGGCUAGAAACCAGUGAACCUGAAUAGUCAAUAUGAGUAGGUAAAGGCCUCUGUUGUUAAGGAUUUAAAUUCUCUGAAGAGGAAGGAUAGUUAAAAAAGGUACAAGUACUGUAGGAAAUUGGAGUGUUUAGAACUGAUGCACCAACCGAACUUACUUAAAGGUUGACCUUGAUUAUUUAUGGUAUUAGAUGCAACUUCUAAUUAUGAAUGAUCAAUUGAUCGGUUGCAGGAUAAAGCGAUUGUAUUUUCAUUGUCACAAACUGCAUAUGGAGUGUGCUUGUUCUUAGGUUAUUGGGUCUAUUUUCUUCUUUUUGGUACAUGUAGAAGUUCUGCUCUUUUCCCCUUCAGUUGAUAGCUUAGUACUUUCACGGAGUAAAGAAUAAGAAGCAUUAUGAUGGGCAGCUGUCUGACAUGUGAAGUUGUUGACACUUCAAUCGUUCAUGAAGUUGAUCCUUCAAGGAGGACAAAGUCUUCUCCUUUUAUG
Prunus dulcis (almond) is the source of this 4566-nucleotide long non-coding RNA. RefSeq lists it as uncharacterized. The record is from RefSeq and is a predicted model, not a curated record. The transcript has 7 exons. NCBI's taxonomy places the organism in Eukaryota, Viridiplantae, Streptophyta, Magnoliopsida, Rosales, Rosaceae.